RNAcentral lists this ribosomal RNA (317 nucleotides) under uncultured bacterium. Its description in RNAcentral is "bacterial SSU rRNA". It matches the Rfam family "Bacterial small subunit ribosomal RNA", at positions 37 to 334 of the family's 1533-position model. The record is from RNAcentral.
GAUCGAACGGCGUAGCGACAGGCUUAACACAUGCAAGUCGAGGGGCGAGCGGGGGUAGACGAAUACCCCGCCGGCGACCGGCGCACGGGUGAGUAACGCGUAUGCAACUUGCCUAUCAGAGGGGGAUAACCCGGCGAAAGUCGGACUAAUACCGCAUGAAGCAGGGGCCCCGCAUGGGGAUAUUUGCUAAAGAUUUAUCGCUGAAAGAUGGUCUCGCGUCUGAUUAGCUAGUUGGUGAGGUAACGGCUCACCAAGGCGACGAUCAGUAGCCGGUCUGAGAGGAUGAACGGCCACAUUGGGACUGAGAUACGGCCCAG